RNAcentral lists this ribosomal RNA (444 nucleotides) under uncultured bacterium. RNAcentral's name for it is "bacterial SSU rRNA". It matches the Rfam family "Bacterial small subunit ribosomal RNA", at positions 217 to 661 of the family's 1533-position model. The record is from RNAcentral.
GGUAUGGGAUGAGCUUGCGUCCGAUUAGCUAGUUGGCGGGGCAACGGCCCACCAAGGCGACGAUCGGUAGCCGGCCUGAGAGGGUGAUCGGCCACAUUGGGACUGAGAUACGGCCCAGACUCCUACGGGAGGCAGCAGUAGGGAAUAUUGCACAAUGGGGGAAACCCUGAUGCAGCAACGCCACGUGUGGGAAGAAGCAUUUCGGUGUGUAAACCACUGUCGUGAGGGAAUAAGGCUAUUUUUCGGAGUAGUUGAAUGUACCUCGAGAGGAAGCACCGGCAAACUUCGUGCCAGCAGCCGCGGUAAUACGAGGGGUGCAAGCGUUGUUCGGAAUCACUGGGCGUAAAGGGAGCGCAGGCGGAAGCUCAAGCGGAUUGUACAAUACCGGGGCCCAACCCCGGACCUGCAGUCCGAACUGGGUUUCUUGGAUAGUUCAGGGGCAGG